UGAAUACGAGACGCUACGGCGUCGAAGCAGUCUAUGUCAUACUUCCAAGAAAAGCUUGCACUGUCAUAAACAAAUAAUGCCUGUACCAUAACCGACACAGGUGGGUAGGUAGAGUAUACUAAGGGGCGCGAGAUAACUCUCUCUAAGGAACUCGGCAAAAUGACUCCGUAACUUCGGGAGAAGGAGUGCCUUAUUUAUAAGGUUGCAAUAACAAGAUCCAAGCAACUGUUUAUCAAAAACACAGGUCUCCGCUAAGUCGUAAGACGAUGUAUGGGGGCUGACGCCUGCCCAGUGCCAGAAGGUUAAAGAAGUUGGUUAGCAUUAGCGAAGCUGAUAACUGAAGCCCUGGUGAACGGCGGCCGUAACAAUAACGGUCCUAAGGUAGCGAAAUUCCUUGUCGGGUAAGUUCCGACCCGCACGAAAGGCGUAAUGAUUUGGAUACUGUCUCGGAGAGGGGCUCGGUGAAAUAGACUUGUCUGUGAAGAUGCGGACUACCUGCACCUGGACAGAAAGACCCUAUGAAGCUUUACUGUAACCUGAAAUUGAAAUUGGACUUUAUUUGCGCAGUAUAGGUGGGAGGCGAUGAGAAUAUUCUUGCGGGAAUAUUGGAGCCAUCAGUGAGAUACCACUCUUGUAAUGUUAGAUUUCUAACUUUGAAUCAUUAUCUGGUCAAAGAACAGUUUCAGGCGGGCAGUUUGACUGGGGCGGUCGCCUCCUAAAUGGUAACGGAGGCGCACAAAGGUUUCCUCUGAACGGGUAGAAAUCGUAUCUAGAGUGUAAAGGCAUAAGGAAGCUUGACUGUGAGACCUACAAGUCGAGCAGGGACGAAAGUCGGUCUUAGUGAUCUGACGGUGCUGAGUGGAAAGGCCGUCACUCAACGGAUAAAAGUUACUCUAGGAUAACAGGCUGAUCUCCCCCAAGAGUUCACAUCGACGGGGAGGUUUGGCACCUCGAUGUCGGCUCAUCGCAUCCUGGGGCGGUAGUACGUCCCAGGGGUUGGGCUGUUCGCCCAUGAAAGCGGUACGCGAGCUGGGUUCAGAACGUCGUGAGACAGUUCGGUCCAUAUCCGGUGUAGGCGUUAGAAUAUUGAGAGGAGCCUUCUUUAGUACGAGAGGACCGAGAAGGACAUACCUCUGGUGUACCAGUUAUCGUGCCAACGGUAAACGCUGGGUAGCUAUGUAUGGAGAGGAUAACCGCUGAAAGCAUCUAAGUGGGAAGCCCACCUCAAGAUAAG
RNAcentral lists this ribosomal RNA (1234 nucleotides) under metagenome. RNAcentral's name for it is "bacterial LSU rRNA". It matches the Rfam family "Bacterial large subunit ribosomal RNA", at positions 1564 to 2808 of the family's 2925-position model. The record is from RNAcentral.